RNAcentral lists this ribosomal RNA (292 nucleotides) under uncultured prokaryote. RNAcentral's name for it is "partial 16S ribosomal RNA". It matches the Rfam family "Bacterial small subunit ribosomal RNA", at positions 505 to 796 of the family's 1533-position model. The record is from RNAcentral.
GUGUCAGCCGCCGCGGUAAUACGAAGGGUGCAAGCGUUAAUCGGAAUUACUGGGCGUAAAGCGCGCGUAGGUGGUUUGUUAAGUUGGAUGUGAAAGCCCCGGGCUCAACCUGGGAACUGCAUCCAAAACUGGCAAGCUAGAGUAUGGCAGAGGGUGGUGGAAUUUCCUGUGUAGCGGUGAAAUGCGUAGAUAUAGGAAGGAACACCAGUGGCGAAGGCGACCACCUGGGCUAAUACUGACACUGAGGUGCGAAAGCGUGGGGAGCAAACAGGAUUAGAAACCCGUGUAGUCC